RNAcentral lists this long non-coding RNA (2287 nucleotides) under Amborella trichopoda. Its description in RNAcentral is "long non-coding RNA (ATRI_LNC005270)". Lineage: Eukaryota; Viridiplantae; Streptophyta; Magnoliopsida; Amborellales; Amborellaceae. The record is from RNAcentral.
GAAAGUGUUUGUGGGGUAUUCCUUGAAACUUGUUUCUCUCUCUCUCCUCCUCUCUCUCUCUCUCUCUCUCUCUCUCUCUAAGUGUUUGUUGUGAGUAUUCAUUGUAACAUGUUUGUGCGUACUCGUUGCAACCUUUCUCUCUCUUGUUGGCUUCUUUUACAUUUAUGUUUCAAUGCUCUUUCUCUCUCUCUCUCUCUCUCUCUCUCUAAGUUUCUAAAGCGAUGAGCAGGGGAGAUGAGCUUGAAAGUAGAGUUGGUUGUUGACAGAAGAUAGAGAGCACAAAACCAACACAAGCAAUAGGCUUUCAUGCUUCUGGAGGAUAUGUGCUCUCUAUACUUCUGCCACCAUGCCCUUAGAAGCACUCUAUUUCUAUUCCCUCUCUUCCCUUCCCUCUCUCUCUCUCUCUUCCUUCCUUACUUCUCUCUCUCUCUCUCACACUACAUGUUCUCCUCAAUUAGGCUCUCCUCUUACUUUUAUUGUAGUGUUUUUUCUUUAGUUUUUGUUAAUUUUUUGUUUAAUUUGCAGGUCAUAGCUUGAAGAUCUGAAGCCAAUCUCACUCUCUCUCUCUCUCUAAUAGCACAUAAAAUCUUUCAAAUAAAUAAUACUCGUAUUUACAUUAAAAAAAAGCCGUAUUAGAAGGUGGUGAGAAUUUGGCAUGUGUAUUGUGCCAUGCACGUACGCCCUUCGAAGGUUUCUGUUUGUUUUUGUAAUAUAUGUUUAUAUAAAUUCUUUUAUUUUGAUUCGAACCUUUGAAUGCUUUGUAUGGAAGUGGUUGUCUUUACGGACGAGUCGACUCGUCGCUCUUGAUUGAACAAAUCCCCAACUUGGGGGAACAAUAAUCUCUUAUAGAUUCAUAAUGUUAUAUUUGUUAUAAUUUAUGAUAUUUUAGAAAGAGAUUAUCUUUUUUUAUAAUUGAUAUAAUCUUUCAUAUCAUCGACUACAAUUGUUUAUAAUUAAUUUUGUAUAUCAUUUUUAUGCUUUCAUGAUUCUAAUGUAUUAGUUUUCCAUAUACUUUUAUGUCUUCUACCUUUCUUUCAUUUCCUGAUUUUUAACAAAAUUUCAGUUUGUUCCCUUUUUUUUGUAAUUUUUUUGCUCUUCGAGUGUCUCGUAGAGUUCGACUCCGACUCGGUCAAUCACUUGUACUAACCAGGGCCCGAGUUCCACGUCUAGCCCGUGUUUUCGAACAGCAAAACAAAUAAGAAAUGCAAGAGAGCUCUAAAGAGAGAGGAAAGUAACUGCAAUGAGAUGAAUUAAGGUUAUUGUUACAUCUAAAGUAGCCGGAAGUUUAAUCAGAAGUUUGUGGUGGAAGGAGACAAGAACUCGGCUGCUGAUUUGUUGGAAAAUCAAGAAGUUUUUGCUGAGAAAUUGAUAAUCAUUUGAGGAAUGGUAAUUGUUGUCUUGCAUUAAUAAUGUUUGAUAAUAGUUGGUGUAGGAUCACUGAUGUAGGUUGGACGAAAGUUGCAUCCUCCAUAACCUUGCUUUAUAACGCUCAUCUGUACUAUUCUUUAUGGGAAAAAGUUUAUACAAACCGCACCCUUCUUUAUGCAGGAAUAAAAGGUAAACUUCUCUUAGAGAGAGAGUGAGUGAGAGAGAGAGAGUAAUUUUUUCUUGAUUUUUAUGUGAUGACAUUUAACUGUCUUAGUACAAAUAGCUCAUUAUUAGUUUUGAAGUCUUAAACGAUCGUUUCCAUAAGUUGGUAUAUGUUUCUUUCAAGGAAAAAGAUUUAUCGACUUAUAAUAUAGAAAUCAGGAGCACCACAAAAAUCUAAUCGAAAGAGUUGUUGGGCCGUUGGAAAACCAUAAAAUUAAUCACCUAAACGAAGCGAUAAAAAUAAAUAAAUAAAGGAUUUCAAGUGUUAAGAAUAGCCGCAUAUUGUAACACAUUCUCCAGAGUGUCCAUUUUCAAAACUUCGAGUUUUUAUAGAUCUUCCGGUUCUACGUCAUUUUUGAAGCUUUAAAUUUCAUAAUUAAAAUUUAUAACUACAUGUAGCAAGAUUUGAAUGUGGGACUCAUUUUUAUUGUUUAAGGUUUACACCUUAUACAGACCGCACUUUCUUCUAAAAGUAUGUUUUCUAUUCAUAUAAUCUUUAAUAAAUCCUCAUAUGCUCAAUUUAAAUGGUUGUAAUGGGCCGACCCGUUCGGCAUUGAACCGGGAGAAGCCAUUCCAACCAGUAGGUCAGCCAGUCCACGAGUUCAAUGCCAGUUUCUCCUUUAGCAUAUGGUCUAGUGUAGUAGACCGGACUAGUAAAGUACCCAAUUCACCAGUUUCCAGCUUGAACGGCUGGUUU